UACGGAGGGUGCAAGCGUUGUCCGGAAUUAUUGGGCGUAAAGAGCGUGUAGGCGGUCCGGUAAGUCGGCUGUGAAAGUCCAGGGCUCAACCCUGGGAUGCCGGUCGAUACUGCCGGACUAGAGUUCGGAAGAGGCGAGUGGAAUUCCCGGUGUAGCGGUGAAAUGCGCAGAUAUCGGGAGGAACACCUAUGGCGAAGGCAGCUCGCUGGGACGUUACUGACGCUGAGACGCGAAAGCGUGGGGAGCAAACAGG
Molecule: ribosomal RNA, 253 nt
Filed under: uncultured bacterium
Lineage: Bacteria
Description: partial 16S ribosomal RNA
Rfam family: Bacterial small subunit ribosomal RNA
Source: RNAcentral